UAUUGCGCAAUGGGCGGAAGCCUGACGCAGCGACGCCGCGGGGGGGAUGACGGCCUUCGGGUUGUAAACCUCUUUCGCCAGGGACGAAGAGCAAUUGACGGUACCUGGAGAAGAAGCACCGGCCAACUACGUGCCAGCAGCCGCGGUAACACGUAGGGUGCGAGCGUUGUCCGGAAUUAUUGGGCGUAAAGAGCUCGUAGGCGGUGUGUCGCGUCGGCCGUGAAAACUUGGGGCUUAACUCUGAGCGUGCGGUCGAUACGGGCAUCACUUGAGUUCGGCAGGGGAGACUGGAAUUCCUGGUGUAGCGGUGAAAUGCGCAGAUAUCAGGAGGAACACCGGUGGCGAAGGCGGGUCUCUGGGCCGAUACUGACGCUGAGGAGCGAAAGCGUGGGGAGCGAACAG
Molecule: ribosomal RNA, 402 nt
Filed under: uncultured bacterium
Lineage: Bacteria
Description: bacterial SSU rRNA
Rfam family: Bacterial small subunit ribosomal RNA
Source: RNAcentral